AAAUUGAGAUAGCUUCUUUCUUUUUGGCAGAAUCUCGCCCUCUCCCUCAAUUCUUUACUUCUACAAUUUUCCAUCUCUCUCAUUGUUAUUCUUUUUAUUUUUCUAUAAAAAUAAUAAUAAUGCCCUGCUUGUUUUAAGUGUUUUAACUCCCAAAUCAUCGCUACCCUUUCCGAUUGAUCUGAGCCCAUAACGCAUGUCAAGGCUCUGCCCGACUAAGUUCGCUUGGGUUCUGUCUUGGGACUUCGGGACAAGGUUAAAUUAAGGGUAUUAUAGUUAACACGAAUAUUAUAUAUAUAUAUUUUUUUUUUUAGCCCAAAGGUUAUACUCAAAAUUUAUACCAGGAGUCCUUCUAUUUGAACCCUAAAGUUACACAGUGGGUCCAUUCCUUUUUCUCACCAUUUUAUUCUAUUUUUGUAAGUUACCCAAAACUAUUAUUUAUUAUUUAUUAUUUCUAUUUUGUAAACAAACUUUCAUCAAAAGUCAUGCCUAUUAUUUUAUUUACCCAAUAGAGAACCAUAGUUGAGACACCCAAGUAAUUCUGCACUAACCAUAAAAUUUCCAGAACAAUCAGAAUCAGGAUCAGGGCCCCUAAAACUCAGAGGGGGAUAAACCCUAGCCAACGAUUAUCCUCAUAACUAAUUGUAAAAUUCGAGAAUUGAAAAACUGUCGACACAGCAAGCCUACAUGCACGAAGGGCUACUCUAUGAAAGUAGGGUGACCACUCGCGUAGCGCGACGCCUAUAGGGGUACCCCCUCGCGCUACGCGACGGUGUCAAAAUUCGGGUAUAAAUAGAGGGGGUUGGGACUUGAAUUCUGUCUUCGGAACGACGUAAAUCCGAGUUACGUAGAUCAAGUUAUCACAGAAACAGUCCAACACACACACACUAAUAUCAAAUCGCUGCCGCAGAACAGGGUAAUUACUCGAUCGCUAUUACGAUUCAGUUUCCGGGAUCAAUAUACCCAAAGAAUGUCUAAGUGCUGCCCACAUUGGGCUAUGCUUUGUCGUUUGUCGGUAAUCCGAUAAAUGAGUUGAAGCAUUGUACUUUGUCGUUGUCGAUAAUUCGAUAAUGAGUUGAAGUACUAUACUUUGUCGUUUGUCAUUUUGAUAAAUGAGUUGAAGUAUUGCACUUUGUCAUUCAUUGUGAGAAUUUGAUCUCGGGAAAUUAUCGUAACUGCUGUAUUGAUCAUUAACCCGGUUUUGUGUGCAUCCUUUCCUAAAUUAGGAUUAUUAGUCUUAAUACACUCACAAUCAAAGUAGAUGCUAAUUCUCAGAAGAAUCUGAACCAUGAAGCUUGUUAAUUCAAAUACUGCAUGCUGAUUUGUAAUUACAAUAGAUUGGAGUAAGGAUUGGAUCCGACACUGAAGGACUUCAAGAAGUGGCUUAUUUUCAAAUUAAGAAAUAUUGUUUUUAUUAAAAGCUACCUUUGUAAAACAUGGAAUUUAUUCCAUCUUUUUAAAUAAAAUCCGGUGUUUUUAAACUCUGAUAUUUUUCCUAACUCACGGUCCUGAUGAAAUUUCCGCUGCAAUGUUUUUCAAAAUAAUCACCGGUACCACUGGACUGCUCACGGCACCGAUUCCGGCCAGAUGGGGUCUGGGGUCGUGACAAUUUUCAUUAAGUUCAUCUACAUCUUAGUUAUGUCUGGUUUAUUUAGCAGCUCUUAAACAUUGGAGAUGUCUUUUACUCCAAAAGACUAUAACUAGACAAUCUAGACCUCACAUACAAUUUUUUAGGAACACACUCUUCUACUAAAUUCAAAAUUGUGUGAUUAUAAGCACUCCAGUCACUUGCUGCAGUCAUAAUUGGUGCACUUGAAGAAGUUAGGAAGAGAAUAUAGUGUGAGAUAAGUAGUAGUUUAUGGUAUUUGGAAGAAAAAAAUAGUCAGCAAGAGACACUAAUUGAGAAACCGAUGGUUUAGCUAUGUUUUCUAUAAGAAGUUUUAGGGUUUGGUUAUGCUUAUAUGUGUAGAAAAAAUCGAACCAAACCGCCAUAAAACCAACCCUUUAUAUUUUUCUAUAUAUAUUACGUUUGAGAAGUUUUGUUACAACUUUUAUAAAUAUUAUACUAUUUGCCUAUUCACUGUUCACCCUCACUUUGUAACUCGAUCAUACAUAUAAAUAUUUUAAAACAAUGACUAUGCUGACUGCAAAAGUCAAAGUCAUUUGUUGGUCUAAAGGGUUAAAGGGUUGAUUUGUACAUCAAAGCAUUCCAAUUUUCUUUAAUUGUAUGUAACUAAUAUAUAUCCACAUUAAUAAUUUGCAAUGGGAAAAUAUUUUGGGCAAAAAAAGUAUAUGUAAUUUGAACCCAAAAGUGGAUUAUAUCUUUUAGGCGGGGUGUGUUGUAACGUUUUGAAUAUUUUAACUAAAUGCAUUUCUAUGUAGAUUCUAUAUUCAAGAACUGACUCAUUUUAUUUUUUAAAAAUCAUAUUUUCUUUGUUUUUCGACAGGUAACAGGCAUGAGAUUGAUAAAUCAAUUAAGUUUCCACUGGUAGUGAACACAUGCCCCUUCUUAGACGCUGUUAAACAUGAUUGGUGGCCAUCAAUGGUGGAUUAUCUUCCAUUUAUGCGGAUUUGGAAGGUAACAGACAUGAGAUUGAUAAAUCAAUUAAGUUUCAACUGGUAGUGAACACAUGCCCCUUCUUAGACAUUGUUAGAACAUGAUGGGUGGCCAUCAAGGCAUCAAUGGUGGAUUAUCUUCCAUUUAUGCAGAUUUGGAAGGUUGUUCCCCUGUGAGCUACUUAGAUGUGAUGGUACCAGUGAGGUUCUUAAAACCAAUGAUAUUUGACAAUGAUUUAUUCGUGUGCUAUCAAUGAAAGUACAAUUGUCACGUUAAUCAUGUAUGGGGUAACAACAUAUAACAACAACAACAACAAUAGUAGUAGUAAUAAUAAUAAUAAUAAUAAUAAUAAUAAUAAUAAUAGUAAUAAUAAUAAUAAUAAUAAUGCCCUCUUUUUUUAUUUUGUUUGAAAACUAUUAAUUGUAUUGUAUAUUGUGACUGGUAAGAUUCAUAUAGGUAGCAAUGGAGGCUGGAGCUGUUGCUACCAUGAGUAACGUCAAAGCCCCAAGAUUGGUCAUGCUUUAUACUGAAUGCACAAUUCUUGCUGGCAAUCAAGCCUUAGCAUUGCCACUACAAUGGGUCUCAUGGAACCUUCCAAUGUUAGCUCAACAUAAUCAAUGGGAAAGUGGACUAAAUGAAGAGAAAAUCAAUGUCAGCCUAAAUUUAGGAAAAUUGUUGUACCCAUCAACAGAUAUGGUCCUUAUCAUCUAAAAAAUAACUAAAAUGUUGGUGACAUGCAUUACACAUUAUAUUUCAAAUGCUUUUUAUUGCAUAUUGUUGCUAUGCACAGUUAGAUAUCCAACUAUUACAUUGCUAAUGAAGUUUAUCAGGCGUUGAGGGGACUAUGAUGACUAAACGUGAUUUGCCGCUCAUACUCUGUGACUUUGGAAAUGCAAAGGUUCUGGUAAUUUUUUUAAAAAAAUAUAUAGAUUUCAAUACACAAAUACCAUUCAUCAUUUGAUGAGCAUUGAUUUUUUUAUUAUUUCAGUUUUGAGUUGAUUCUUACUUGAUCUAGAUUUUGGUGGGUCCUUAUGAACGGACUAAAGAUGGUUUUAAGAUCCUACCAGCAACUACUUUUGGAUUCAGUUACACCAGAUCUUGGCGGGUCUGCGGGUCCUUAUGAAUGGAUUAUGUUGUUGUCUAUUAUAUAUAGUUGAUUUCAUCGAAUGUAUUUUGGUGGUUAUUGAUUAAAUGAUUGUAAAAGUUUAGAAUGGCAAUGGUGUGAUCAUGAACAAAAUAGUGACUCCAUGAUCAGGCUCUCAUUGUUUGAUAAGCCCAUCUAUUCGUCUUCCGAUGCUCCAGCUCCUUGCCAUGGUGGAAGAUAGCGAUGGUGAUGAAGAACCAGGAUCGGUGAUACAGUGGAGGCAAUAUAAGCUUUGGCAAAGGGCUCAAGAGUUGGAUAUCGCAAACCCUAAAUCUAAGGCAAUCCUUGCACUUUGACGAUUAAUCUGUGCAAAGACAAUGGAUCAAACAUUCAAGAUCAAGAUAAUCUCCUCCAACUACGAUUGUUUGGUGCGGAUUUCUCGCAAUCAGAGGUACAGCUUACCGGAGAAGACGAUUUUCGGCGAACCUAUUCUCAUCUUCAUGUUUCCCCUAUGAACAGAAUAGUGGCCCCCAAAGUUUCAGUUCGUUAGGAUUACAAUGGAGAUUUGUAGGCUGAAAUUUUGCUAACGUUUCCAGGGGUUUAGAUGAUGAAUUUGAAUUUUGAAGGCUUUUAACGCUUUUAAUACAAUCUUCUCAGCACAACUUCGAAAUCAACAUCGAAAUGUGUUGAUUUACAUGUGGACUUCAGUUAUUUCAGCAGGGAGGCAAGCAGAUGCAACACACAAUUUAACUUGCUUUUUAACUUGGAAAGUUGGUGUGAGUUCCAUCUGACCAUAAUGCCUACACAUAUAGGUCUGUCCUUGAAUAUUGAUACGUCUUCAAUUGCAUUCAUUGAGUCACUGAUGAUUAGGAGGUGAUUAUUUUGGUUGUUGAGAGAUCGAUGAAGAAAGACGAAACACACGAAUAAUGUUAGGUGGUUUCUUGAGGGUCUUAGUUUGGCACCUCUUUAGAGUCUUGAUUUAGAAUCAUUGUAUUUUGGGGUUGAGUAGAGACAUAACUCUUGUUCUUUUAUUCUAUGGUUAUUUGUCAAUUUGUGUGCCACCGCUAAAGCCUACCACCGCCGCAAGUGUGAGAGACGUCUCUGAGGUUAUAAGCUUUUGCCUUAUUUGUCGGGUAACAAUAUGUGAAAGCCAAGUAGAAGCCAGCUGGACAGCACUGAAGGUUUGGAAAAAUGGCAAUAAAGUUACCUAAAAUAAAUAGAUGUUUUUUUAAAUAAAAAUAGGAUUUAUUCCUAUGAAAAUGUGUGUACUUAAAACUUGGGUUUUAUCCCAUGUGUUUAAUAUUAUGAAAGCAUGGUAUUUUACUCUGAUAAAAUAUUUCCUAACUACAAUCCUGAUGUACUUUCCGCUGCCAAAAUAGACAAACACCAAAUACCACCAAAACUGGUUGCGGCCGCCCGUUCCCGGAACUGUUAGGGGACGGGGGUUGCGACAGAAGGUGGUAUCAAAGCUAAGCCACUGAUUCAGCCACAAAAGUGUUCUGCUGAAACCAAAAUUCAAUCUGUCAGGAGAUAAAUUACGGAACUACGUGCAUAAUUGUAUUUUAUUGUUAUGUGUUAUUUGACUAUUUGUUAGUUUACAGUAUGAGCGACCAAGGACCAUCUGACGCGUACCGUCAAUUGUCUGGUUCGCCUAAAAGCGAAGGUGCCUCUUCUCAGCCUGCUCUCUCGGGGUACUCUACUGAUACUGAAGGAGGAAUAUUCGUGUUUAAGGCUCAGUCAGAAGAGCCAUUCCCUCAGAAAAAGAGAGGAUGGUUCAGUAGGGGAGCACCUGAGUGUAGGAAACGUAUGAAAAAGUUACAAGAACAGAGAGCACUAGCAGCAGCCAAAAGAGAAACCGAUGCCCAUGCCCACGGCAUGAUUAAUAGGGGUUUAGCUAAUUUCCAUAUCUUAGCAACCACUGCAGCCGACCCUAACCUGGAACAAAUGAUAGCACCCCAACCACAACCACCAUUUCCCGACCAACCAAUGGAAAUAGAGAACCCUGAAAAUCAAGUAGAAAUGCAUGAUUUCAACCCGGGGGAGAUACCUAGGGUACCCGCACCUAAUCCCUUAGACCCAAAUUACGACCCAUGGUGGGAUGACAAUAGGGACUAUGUGCAACGUUACCACAUGCCAGAAGAUGUGUCUAUGCCGAACCUUGGAGCAUACCUAGGUUUGGACCCUCUAGAUCCCUAUUACAAUAACGAUGUAUACAUUAGGGAGAUUUUAGAGAAUCCUUACCCGUUUCAGGCACCCACACCCCCAUACCAGGAACCCGCACCCCAGAUUCCGAACCCAGUCCUAGAACCUACACCCCCAAUGAGUGCAGAAAACGUACAAGAACUCAGGACAUUUGGUGAAGAAAUCUUAAAGAGUAGUGAAAGGAUGAGACAUGUGGGAGAGCGACUCGUCUGGAAGUACGACGAGCGCAAUAUGGAUUUCUGGAUGAAUCUAUAUCCAUGAAUGUGAUGGUGGAGAUGG
Molecule: long non-coding RNA, 6119 nt
Organism: Helianthus annuus (common sunflower)
Lineage: Eukaryota; Viridiplantae; Streptophyta; Magnoliopsida; Asterales; Asteraceae
Exons: 9
Source: RefSeq, a predicted model, not a curated record